Molecule: long non-coding RNA, 162 nt
Organism: Labrus mixtus (cuckoo wrasse)
Lineage: Eukaryota; Metazoa; Chordata; Actinopteri; Labriformes; Labridae
Exons: 2
Source: RefSeq, a predicted model, not a curated record
AGCCUUUCUACUACUUUGGAGUAUUUAAAACGUCCAUUUACGUGAGCCUCAACACUACAAGGACUGCCAUCUGUUUUGACGGAUAUAUUUCCAACAAAACUAAUCAGGACUGCAUUUUCAUAAAUGUGCAGACAAAUUCUCCAACUAAUGUUCAGUUCCUAA